CUUGUAUGAUGCAGUAAGCAUCUCCACCAUCCUUCUGUUUACUCUGAUGGGGUCUGCAAAGGGGAGAAGAUGUAUAGGGUUGGGUAUCUCUGUAAAUGUCGGAAGUGAAGUUGACCUUAUGACCUUCUGUUCUGCAGGAGCUGUCCCAGAUGCAGACCCACAUCUCAGACACAUCCGUGGUGCUAUCCAUGGACAACAACCGCAACCUGGACCUGGACAGCAUCAUCGCCGAGGUCAAGGCCCAAUAUGAGGAGAUUGCUCAGAGGAGCCGGGCUGAGGCUGAGUCCUGGUACCAGACCAAGUACGAGGAGCUGCAGGUCACAGCAGGCAGACAUGGGGACGACCUGCGCAACACCAAGCAGGAGAUUGCUGAGAUCAACCGCAUGAUCCAGAGGCUGAGAUCUGAGAUCGACCAUGUCAAGAAGCAGGUACAGUGAGGUGCAAUGGAGGAAAGAAGCAUCAUUUUUUGCUAGACCCAUCAGGCAGUCAUUAGCCAUUAUUUGAGAUAAUUCCUGAAACGUAAACCAACACUGGGGUGAGGAACAUGUGUAGUUCUUGCCCUCAGUGAGAACUGAAUAGAGAAGUGAAUCCCACCCAAGAGGAUGAGCCUCUGAGGCACAAGCAAGGCCAGGUCUCAACAGUCAGGUAAAAAGUUAUCACCUCCCUUACAGAUGGUCAUAAUUUUGUAUAUUUUAAUGUGGCAUCCAGAUGUAUUCCUCAAAAUCAUUCUUGUAGUUUUGAAAACAGCACUCAAUACAAACCGAGCAUUCAUCUUCCAUAUGGCUUGUUUUUGGGUCCAUUGUAGUGUCUCCCAUAAGAUGCAAUGCACAUUCUCAUGCGGGUGCUUAAUACAAGGGGCAUAGGACUUUGUCACUUGACUCCCAGAGUAGACAAAUAUUGCCAAAUGGAGA
RNAcentral lists this small RNA (911 nucleotides) under Pan troglodytes (chimpanzee). RNAcentral's name for it is "retained intron". Lineage: Eukaryota; Metazoa; Chordata; Mammalia; Primates; Hominidae. The record is from RNAcentral.